This 253-nucleotide ribosomal RNA is filed under the name uncultured bacterium. Its description in RNAcentral is "partial 16S ribosomal RNA". It matches the Rfam family "Bacterial small subunit ribosomal RNA", at positions 524 to 776 of the family's 1533-position model. The record is from RNAcentral.
UACGAAGGGGGCUAGCGUUGCUCGGAAUCACUGGGCGUAAAGGGUGCGUAGGCGGGUCUUUAAGUCAGGGGUGAAAUCCUGGAGCUCAACUCCAGAACUGCCUUUGAUACUGAAGAUCUCGAGUCCGGGAGAGGUGAGUGGAACUGCGAGUGUAGAGGUGAAAUUCGUAGAUAUUCGCAAGAACACCAGUGGCGAAGGCGGCUCACUGGCCCGGUACUGACGCUGAGGCACGAAAGCGUGGGGAGCAAACAGG